RNAcentral lists this antisense RNA (75 nucleotides) under Streptomyces alboflavus. RNAcentral's name for it is "ASpks TB sRNA". It matches the Rfam family "ASpks TB sRNA". The record is from Rfam by way of RNAcentral. Lineage: Bacteria; Bacillati; Actinomycetota; Actinomycetes; Kitasatosporales; Streptomycetaceae.
CUUGACGGAGCCGAGCCACAACGGCCGCUCCGGCGGGCGCUGUUGUCCGUAGGUGGCGAGGAUCGCCUGGGCCUC